RNAcentral lists this ribosomal RNA (253 nucleotides) under uncultured bacterium. Its description in RNAcentral is "partial 16S ribosomal RNA". It matches the Rfam family "Bacterial small subunit ribosomal RNA", at positions 524 to 776 of the family's 1533-position model. The record is from RNAcentral.
UACGUAGGGUGCAAGCGUUGUCCGGAAUUAUUGGGCGUAAAGAGCUCGUAGGCGGUCUGUCGCGUCGGAUGUGAAAAUCCAGGGCUCAACCCUGGACCUGCAUUCGAUACGGGCAGACUAGAGUUCGGUAGGGGAGACUGGAAUUCCUGGUGUAGCGGUGAAAUGCGCAGAUAUCAGGAGGAACACCGAUGGCGAAGGCAGCCUCCUGGGCCAGCACUGACGCUCAUGCACGAAAGCGUGGGGAGCAAACAGG